UGGCAGCCAGCAGUUCGCAGCGGGAAAAAGUGGCAGUAAAGAGGCCUUCCUAAAGGCAUUAUACACUAUAAUAUGAGACUUUUGGUUAUUUUUUCGAUCUUUACUGGUAUUAAUUAAACGUUUAAUGAGAAUAUACAACAUGGAACGAUAAAGUGUUCUUCAAAAGUGGAUCUAUACAAUGCCAAAGGAACCUAUAACCAAAAUUUCAUGAUUCUAGCUUUAACGGUUUGGGCUGGGCGAUGAUGAAUCAGUCAGUCAAUCAGUCACGCAAGCCUUUUAUAUAUAGAUUGAGAGAAGGAGAAUGGAUAGUUAGCUGCUGGUUUCAUACCUACAUCCUGUACAAAAAUAUUUUAACAGAUUAAAGUCUACUAAACUCACCUGCAAACAAAUCAACUGUAGUAAUGGGCGUCACAACAGUAUUACAUUCGACACCAUUACAACUGGAACCAUUUUUUUCUUUUCCGUACACUAUCCACGGUGAACCAGAAUUCAACGAACACAUAAAUCCUAUGUCGCAAAACAGAAUUUGGAUGUAAAACCAUUUCUCUUCUGCAGGGCGAUUUAAUACGAUUAACCUUAGAAUCCAAUACGCAUAUAUUAGGAUACAUCCCACCAACACGGGCGGCUUUAAUGACAGAACAAUUCGAUUUGAGAUUUAUAUAAUGCAUACUAAGAUCAACUUUGCUAUAUAUUAAUUGUGAUGAUCUUAAGGAUCCAACCAAUUGAGUACGGAUAUUGCAGUCCUGUUCCAACAGGCCAUUCAAAAUGAAAUUAUAUUAAAAUCAAAAACCAAUUCCUCAUUUCUAAAGUUAUUUUUCCAUUCUUGAUACAGACGCAAGAAUAUCAAGUGAUCGGAAGGAAUACCUUCAAAUAAAC
Lucilia sericata (common green bottle fly) is the source of this 876-nucleotide long non-coding RNA. RefSeq lists it as uncharacterized. The record is from RefSeq and is a predicted model, not a curated record. The transcript has 3 exons. NCBI's taxonomy places the organism in Eukaryota, Metazoa, Arthropoda, Insecta, Diptera, Calliphoridae.